UUUAAAUAAAAAUUAUAGAGUUUAAAAUUUAUUUUAACUUUAAAUUUAUAAUUAAAUUAAGUUUAAUUUAUAAAUAUUGAUGUAUAUCACCCGUAAAGAUGUUUGUAGACUGGGUUGGGUCUAGAUAGUUGAUAUACUGUAUCCGUACCCUAAAAAGAAAUGGUUACAAAAAAAAAAAAAAAUCCUACCCAUUUAACUUCGGGUCGGAUUCGGAUCUGCGUACGUAAGUUGCUAAUAUAUCCAUCGAGUUUAUUUGAGUGGGUCUGGAUAGUGAUUACUCGUGUACUAUCCGUUCAUGACCGGGUAUGGGUAUCCCUGUAUAUAUAUAUAUAGAGUAGGUCUUGUUUGCUAUUAGGAGCACGGAGGCCUCCGUGCUCCUAAGCCAUUUUUAAUCAUGAAGCUUCCGAAUCGACGAUCGGCUCCGUUAGACUUGAUCUAGCGCAUUUGAAGUAUCUAAAAAAUAAAUUUUGUCAUUUUUCGAUAUCAUUUACCUAGUGAUCGAAAGGGUUUAAAAUCAACGGCUGAAAAUAAAAAUCUCAAAAAAAGUGGUGAUAUAGUACUAAAAUUUUCGAUCAGAGAUAUUGAUCUCGCUAUAAAUAGUAUAAAAAAUUUUCUAUCAGAAUUUUAUUUGAUUUGAAUACUUCUACACCGUUAAACUUACAAAU
Molecule: long non-coding RNA, 665 nt
Filed under: Ananas comosus (pineapple)
Lineage: Eukaryota; Viridiplantae; Streptophyta; Magnoliopsida; Poales; Bromeliaceae
Description: long non-coding RNA (ACOM_LNC026718)
Source: RNAcentral